AUGACCUUCAUCAUCAUCUUCAUCUGGACUCUCACAGCGUUUGCUCAAGAGUGUAGAGGACAGAUCACCGUCACUCAGAGUCCCUCAAUGACAGCAGCUCAACCAGGACAAACUGUGAACAUCAACUGUAAAACCAGCACAGAUGUGUAUUAUCAAAGUUCUUAUGGACAUUAUUUAGCUUGGUACUUACAGAAACCUGGAGAAGCUCCUAAACUCCUGAUUUAUUUGACCAAAAGCCUCCAGUCAGGAACUCCAUCUAGAUUCAGUGGCAGUGGAUCUAACAGUGAUUUCACUCUGACCAUCAGUGGAGUCCAGACUGAAGAUGCUGGACAUUAUUACUGUCAGAGUUAUCACUGGAUCAACAGUAAAGAUGUGUUCACACAGUGAUAAAGAGUCGUACAAAAACCUCCGUCAGUCAGAGUCACAGUGACUGAACUGAUACUGCAGCUGCUCAAAGGAGGAUCUGAAACAACAUCGUCACACAAACAUCUGAAAUAAAAUCAUCAAAAUUAAUCUUUUUAUAAAUUAUUGAGGUCAGAAAUCAUAGCAUUAGCUGAGAGAAACAACUAGACAAAGUCCAUCAGUGUCACUGUCAAUGUUAAAUUUCCUCAUAUUCAUACCCUCUUUAGACUAAAAAUGUUGUGGAAAAUGUAUAUCUGCCUUGAGAUUUUGUGCUCUUAUAGAUCAGUGACAUGAUUGAGAUCUACAUGUGAGUCGUCCACCAUAUUGGAUCAGUCAGAUCUGGUCCGUGAACACUGGAGAGCAAGUGAACUCCUGACUGCAUCUGCAACCUCUGUAAUAAAGUUUCAUGAGAACUAGUUAAAUAGUAAAAUCACUGUGGGGCAUCGAUUAUAAAACACAAAGUUCCAUUAGUUGCUUUUAUUUGAGAUAUGGAUCAACAUGUGGAUCAAGGUGUGGUUAUUAUACAAAAGAACAACAAUACUGACAUAAAUCACAAGUAUAAAAACAUCAAACACUCAUAAAUAGUUGCAGAAACCUCA
Molecule: non-coding RNA, 1001 nt
Organism: Megalobrama amblycephala (Wuchang bream)
Lineage: Eukaryota; Metazoa; Chordata; Actinopteri; Cypriniformes; Xenocyprididae
Source: the annotation of a RefSeq genome assembly